ACAGGUGUUCUCUCUUUCAGUGUUGUGACGCGUACCAAGUGAGGAAUUGCAUAUUAGAAUGCAUUUGUAUUUAUAAAUAUUGAGUAAAAUCUCAACUUUUUGAUUAGUUUUAUACAAGUGUGUUAUAAUAUAAACUUAGUUGCAAAGUUAAUAAGAAACAAAAUUCCAAGAUGUCUCCGGAAGAAUAUACAGUGGAGGAGCAAGAGGCAAUUCAAGAAUUGAAACGUAGACUGGAUGGUGAAAUGGAUCAAGAAAUGUUUGCCGACGAUAACAUGUUUAUACGGUUCUUGAGAGCUCGAAACUUCAACAUGAGUGCUGCUGAAACAAUGCUACGCAAUGU
Molecule: long non-coding RNA, 340 nt
Organism: Stegodyphus dumicola
Lineage: Eukaryota; Metazoa; Arthropoda; Arachnida; Araneae; Eresidae
Source: RefSeq, a predicted model, not a curated record